RNAcentral lists this unclassified non-coding RNA (707 nucleotides) under Bombus terrestris (buff-tailed bumblebee). Its description in RNAcentral is "misc RNA ENSBTSG00005032364.1". The record is from RNAcentral. Lineage: Eukaryota; Metazoa; Arthropoda; Insecta; Hymenoptera; Apidae.
UAACUGUUUUUGUCUAGAAGGCGCAGUAUUCGAUGUUCGAUGACGAAAUAGCGUGUAUUCCGAACGAUCAGAAUACUGCAGCACAAGCUCGUCUGUUAAGAAACUUCUUUUUCAUUCUUGGUAUUUCUUGUAGCGAUACAACACAUUAUUCUUGCUUUCGGUACGACAGAAAUGCAUAACCACUUUGUUAAUUCUAUAAUGUAAUUCUUUGCCGGUUGUAUCGAUUAAAAAGGUAGUGCCUCAACUAUCUUAGAUAUACAAUAUCAACAAGUAAUCGCGAAAUAUGCAUUAUUCUAUGUAUGUAUGUAUAUGUAUAUAUAUGUCUUCUUUAUAAUAUUUAUAUUUAUAUAUAUAUUCCAUUUUUUUGUUCAUUAUACUCUUGUUGUAUGUGGGGCAUAUAUAAAUACGUGACUAGUUUUCAAAAACGAAAAUCCCUUCGCUCGCGUUGCGCAUUCAAAUAUUUCUUUUUUUUUUUUUUUACUUCAUAUUCAUCAAUUCAUUUCGCAUCAUCUUGUCAUACAUAUAAUUGUCUAGCACACACUCGUACAUGUAUAUCGUAUAUACGACGCUUCUUAUAUUUUUUCUUUUUUACAUUUACUUCGUUUGUUACAGCCUUUAAGCAUCUUAUUUAAAUUCUGCAAGCGUGACUGAAAAUUAAGAAUCGAGUUACGCAUGCUCUCCAAUCUAAGUGUAGAAGGAUCGUUACG